This is a long non-coding RNA of Aethina tumida (small hive beetle), 574 nucleotides long. RefSeq lists it as uncharacterized. The record is from RefSeq and is a predicted model, not a curated record. The transcript is spliced from 2 exons. Lineage: Eukaryota; Metazoa; Arthropoda; Insecta; Coleoptera; Nitidulidae.
UACAGUAUGUACACAAAAUUUUAAGUUUCGUUUUAAGUGAAUAUGGUUUACAGUGUUCUGUUCAUACUUGUCAAAUAAAAGAUUCGUAUUAAAUAUAUUCAGUGUCAAAAGUUCGCAUCACCCUGUAAACGGUUAAUUUUGUUAAAUUUAAUUUGAACACUAUGGUGUCAUAUGUGAGAGUUUCAAGUUAUGGGGUCGAACUGAUUUUGGAAGAAGAACCUUUGGUAUAUGUUCUUUACACACAGAUCUUAAAAUUUGUCUUACUGUAUAACCAAUACAAGAGAAGGUGGACCUCAAUUUCGAAUUUAUGGGCGACAAUCCUCACCAACAUCGAACUCAAAAUGAGGACUUUCUUAGAGGUUACAUUGAAAAAAUGAAAUGGUCCCCGGACUUAAACCCAAUUGAGCAUGUAUGGGAUUACUUGUCCAAAGUAAAUCCUCCCAUGAUUAUUCAAGACCUAUUACAGGCUGCAGUUGAAGAAUGGUUUAAUAUCUCCUUAAGAAUUUAUUGAUAAUCUAAAGAGGCCUGCACAGGCGUGUAAAUUUGAUAAUAAAGUUCGUUUAUGAUAAAGGUA